This 76-nucleotide transfer RNA is filed under the name Sutterella wadsworthensis. RNAcentral describes it as "tRNA-Val". It matches the Rfam family "tRNA". Rfam says of the family: Transfer RNA (tRNA) molecules are approximately 80 nucleotides in length. Their secondary structure includes four short double-helical elements and three loops (D, anti-codon, and T loops). RNAcentral also lists the same sequence under 1 other name. The record is from RNAcentral. Lineage: Bacteria; Pseudomonadati; Pseudomonadota; Betaproteobacteria; Burkholderiales; Sutterellaceae.
GGAUCCUUAGCUCAGUUGGUAGAGCGGCGCCUUUACACGGCGAUGGUCAGGAGUUCGAGUCUCUUAGGAUCCACCA